AUGAACUUGUGUACCGAGUGAGUUGGAAGGGAUGGAUUUGCAAAAUGGUUAAUGCAUACGUCACAUCCCUGCUAAGCACACUGGAAAGGAAGGACCAACUACAGACAGCUGAGACGUUAGCUGCGGACAGCCACCAGAACUGGAAAGUGUUCUGUCUUCAAGGCAUUCACUGUGUUCCCAUGACACCAAAGCUCACCUUCUGUCCCUAAAGUUCCAGGUUCCCAACUCAGAAGCCCGCUGUGAGCCUCAUAGCCACCAAACGUCCUCAGGCCAGCUCCAUUUCUCACUUGUCACCUGGUCGUACUGACAGGAUUCAGACACAGGCGGAAUUGGCAAAUUUGCUGUGGACCAGAUGUGACAAGGCGGGAAAAUCUUUUUCUUUUUUCUGGUUGCUCCGACAGUCUACUCUCUGCAAUGCUGUGAUCAGCCAUUCAGAAAUGGAAAGAGCAGCUGACUGCAGAUGAAGUUCUUCUCUCUGGACAGUGGCCGAGCACACCCUAGGCACAGUAUGGAGCACACCAACGUUUGGUGGAUAUUAGCUGAUGUUAUCAUCUGAGGCCGGAAAAGAAAAAUCAUCUGGAAUAUCCGUAACCACAUCACUCAGUUUUUAUCUAAAUAAAUGCUUCCAAACUGGUUAUCAGCCUACUUGCAAAGGUGGAGUGUAUCAUAUUACAGACAGAGCUGCGCCCUGUUCUUAUGAUUUAACUGUCCCUCACCCUACAGUACUCUCCUCCAGUCUUUGAGAAAACAUCUUUCUAGGAAGCAAUUCAUUCAUUCAUUCAUUCAUUCAUUCAUUCAUUCAUUCAUUCAUUCAUCUACUCUCAUUCAUCCAUUCAUUAAUCAACAAAUACCCACUGAGAAAAACCUACCAUGUACCACCUUCUGAGUAGACCAAAAACACCAAAACUUUGGGGUGUUCAGACACAACAAAAUUCAGUGCAGGAGUGAAUGCAAACGGGGGGUGCCUCUUACAUCUCAGACAUGUCAGGGACACCUGCUCCU
This is a non-coding RNA of Peromyscus maniculatus bairdii (prairie deer mouse), 1002 nucleotides long. The record is from RefSeq and is a predicted model, not a curated record. Lineage: Eukaryota; Metazoa; Chordata; Mammalia; Rodentia; Cricetidae.